UAGGGAAUCUUCCACAACGGGCGAAAGCCUGAUGGAGCAACGCCGCGUGUGUGAUGAAGGGUUUCGGCUCGUAAAACACUGUUGUAAGAGAAGAAUGACAUUGAGAGUAACUGUUCAAUGUGUGACGGUAUCUUACCAGAAAGGAACGGCUAAAUACGUGCCAG
RNAcentral lists this ribosomal RNA (164 nucleotides) under uncultured bacterium. RNAcentral describes it as "partial 16S ribosomal RNA". It matches the Rfam family "Bacterial small subunit ribosomal RNA", at positions 355 to 511 of the family's 1533-position model. The record is from RNAcentral.